Molecule: ribosomal RNA, 465 nt
Filed under: Vreelandella stevensii
Lineage: Bacteria; Pseudomonadati; Pseudomonadota; Gammaproteobacteria; Oceanospirillales; Halomonadaceae
Description: partial 16S ribosomal RNA
Rfam family: Bacterial small subunit ribosomal RNA
Source: RNAcentral
CCUACGGGGGGCAGCAGUGGGGAAUAUUGGACAAUGGGGGGAACCCUGAUCCAGCCAUGCCGCGUGUGUGAAGAAGGCCCUCGGGUUGUAAUGCACUUUCAGUGAGGAAGAACGCCUGGUGGUUAAUACCCAUCAGGAAAGACAUCACUCACAGAAGAAGCACCGGCUAACUCCGUGCCAGCAGCCGCGGUAAUACGGAGGGUGCGAGCGUUAAUCGGAAUUACUGGGCGUAAAGCGCGCGUAGGUGGCUUGAUAAGCCGGUUGUGAAAGCCCCGGGCUCAACCUGGGAACGGCAUCCGGAACUGUCAAGCUAGAGUGCAGGAGAGGAAGGUAGAAUUCCCGGUGUAGCGGUGAAAUGCGUAGAGAUCGGGAGGAAUACCAGUGGCGAAGGCGGCCUUCUGGACUGACACUGACACUGAGGUGCGAAAGCGUGGGUAGCAAACAGGAUUAGAUACCCGUGUAGUC